This 627-nucleotide unclassified non-coding RNA is filed under the name Hevea brasiliensis (rubber tree). The record is from RNAcentral. Lineage: Eukaryota; Viridiplantae; Streptophyta; Magnoliopsida; Malpighiales; Euphorbiaceae.
GGAAAAGCACGUCCAGGUCUAGAUCGAAUACUUCUCUUCGAAUUGGCCCGGAAAAUUUGUUGAACCUGAUAUCCAAGAAGGUUAACUGUCUGGCAGCAAGAACUGAAGUGGGGAAGCCACCAUGGUAGUUGUUGUUGCUUAGAUCGAGCUCGUAAAAGUAUUUGAUAUUUUCAACUCCUAUAUCAUCUGGCACAGACCCUUUGAAUUUGUUGGAGUUUGCGUGGAAGAUAGCCAAGUCCACCAAUUUAUCAAGUAGACCUUUAGUCUGAAGGUCAGGACCAGAAAAAUUGUAACCAUUGAAGUCUGCUGCUGCUACAGAUAGCCGUUUAAAGUCAGGCCUAUAAUCACAUGCAAAGCCUUCAUAUUUACAGACAUUUCUGUCCGCCCUGUUCCAUGUUCUUGUUAUGCCCAUGGGAUCGCCUUUAAUUUUUUUACUGAAUUCCUUAAUUGUGUUAUAAUCCCUUAUGAUAUUUGCUGGUAAUUGAUUCGAGGGUGUUGGUGGUGGGCGUGGGCGUGGGCGUGGGCGUGGGCUUGGUUUUCGGGGUGGGCGUUGGGGUGGGUUUUUUUUUGGGGUUGGUGGUGGUGGGGGUGGGCUUUUUUUUGGGGUUGGUGGUGGUGGGGGUGGGC